RNAcentral lists this ribosomal RNA (434 nucleotides) under uncultured Lachnospiraceae bacterium. RNAcentral describes it as "partial 16S ribosomal RNA". It matches the Rfam family "Bacterial small subunit ribosomal RNA", at positions 341 to 792 of the family's 1533-position model. The record is from RNAcentral. Lineage: Bacteria; Bacillati; Bacillota; Clostridia; Lachnospirales; Lachnospiraceae.
ACGGGAGGCAGCAGUGGGGGAUAUUGGACAAUGGGGGCAACCCUGAUCCAGCGACGCCGCGUGAGUGAAGAAGUAUUUCGGUAUGUAAAGCUCUUUAAGCAGGGACGAUAAUGACGGUACCUGCCGAAUAAGCCCCGGCUACCUACGUGCCAGCAGCCGCGGUAAUACGUAGGGGGCACGCGUUAUCCGGAUUUACUGGGUGUAAAGGGAGCGUAGACGGCAAUACAAGUCUGAAGUGAAAGCCCGCGGCUCAACUGCGGAACUGCUUUGGAAACUGUAUAGCUAGAGUGUCGGAGAGGUGAGUGGAAUUCCCAGUGUAGCGGUGAAAUGCGUAGAUAUUGGGAAGAACACCGGAGGCGAAGGCGGCUCACUGGAAGAUAACUGACGUUGAGGCUCGAAAGCGUGGGGAGCAAACAGGAUUAGAUACCCUGGUA